This 204-nucleotide ribosomal RNA is filed under the name Klebsiella pneumoniae. Its description in RNAcentral is "partial 23S ribosomal RNA". It matches the Rfam family "Bacterial large subunit ribosomal RNA", at positions 1 to 265 of the family's 2925-position model. Lineage: Bacteria; Pseudomonadati; Pseudomonadota; Gammaproteobacteria; Enterobacterales; Enterobacteriaceae. The record is from RNAcentral.
GCUCCAGCAAAAAAGGGAUGCUGAACGUACUGGUUGCCGCCGUGCUGUGGGGCAGUUCCGGGGUGUGUGCGCAAUUUAUUAUGCAGGAAUCGUUAACUGAAUACAUAGGUUACCGAGGCGAACCGGGGGAACUGAAACAUCUAAGUACCCCGAGGAAAAGAAAUCAACCGAGAUCCCCCCAGUAGCGGCGAGCGAACGGGGAGC